Molecule: transfer RNA, 66 nt
Filed under: Pilsbryoconcha exilis
Lineage: Eukaryota; Metazoa; Mollusca; Bivalvia; Unionida; Unionidae
Description: tRNA-Gln
Source: RNAcentral
UGGGAGCUAGUGAUCUUCACGAAUGAAUUUGAAUCAUUAAACGGAGCUAACUAUCUCCGCUCCCAA